This 468-nucleotide ribosomal RNA is filed under the name uncultured bacterium. RNAcentral describes it as "partial 16S ribosomal RNA". It matches the Rfam family "Bacterial small subunit ribosomal RNA", at positions 28 to 507 of the family's 1533-position model. The record is from RNAcentral.
GACGAACGCUGGCGGCGUGCUUAACACAUGCAAGUCGAACGGAAAGGCGCUGCUUUUGUGGGGUGCUCGAUUGGCGAACGGGUGAGUAACACGUGAGUAACCUGCCCUUGACUUUGGGAUAACUUUAGGAAACUGGGGCUAAUACCGGAUAUGAGCUCCUGCUGCAUGGGGGGGGUUGGUAAGUUUCGGCGGUUGGGGAUGGACUCGCUGCUUAUCAGCUUGUUUGUGUGGUAGGUGCUUACCAAGCCUUUGACGGGUAGCCGGCCUGAGAGGGUGAACGGCCACAUUGGGACUGAGAUACGGCGCAGACUCCUACGGGAGGCAGCAGUGGGGAAUAUUGCACAAUGGGCGGAAGUCUGAUGCAGCAACGCCGCGUGCGGGAUGACGGGCUUCGGGUUGUAAACCGCUUUCGCCUGUGACGAAGCGUGAGUGACGGUACUGGGUAAAGAAGCACCGGCUAACUACGUG